Molecule: non-coding RNA, 165 nt
Organism: Clostridium sp. CAG:127
Lineage: Bacteria; Bacillati; Bacillota; Clostridia; Eubacteriales; Clostridiaceae
Source: Rfam
UACAUUUGUGACUUAGAAGUAAUUCGUGUUCUGUGAAUAUCAGCAAUGCGAAAACACGAUGUUUUCGCAAGCUGCCACUGAGCCAUGGAUGGCGAAUUGGCAGCGGUUGCGUACGGUAAUACAUAUAUCCCAGAACACGAAUAUUACUUCUUAGUCACAAUAUGU